Long non-coding RNA from Pipistrellus kuhlii (Kuhl's pipistrelle), 229 nucleotides. RefSeq lists it as uncharacterized. The record is from RefSeq and is a predicted model, not a curated record. The transcript has 2 exons. Lineage: Eukaryota; Metazoa; Chordata; Mammalia; Chiroptera; Vespertilionidae.
CAUUCUGAAUGAUGUUACUCAGCUAAACACAGAUAUGGAAUUACCAAGACUAUAAAAUCAGCCAGCAAAGCUCACCAUUGUUUUCUCCAGUAUUUGCAAUGGCACAAGCCAUUAAAUAGUCAAAAACAUGAUGCUAUAAAGUAGGGGCUAGAGACUUUAUACUUUCAAGGUUAGUUGUUCUGGCAGAAAAAAAAAAGACUUAAGAAUCAGAUUCAAAGGGGGGGGGAAA